This 628-nucleotide ribosomal RNA is filed under the name uncultured bacterium. RNAcentral's name for it is "bacterial SSU rRNA". It matches the Rfam family "Bacterial small subunit ribosomal RNA", at positions 61 to 685 of the family's 1533-position model. The record is from RNAcentral.
GUCGAACGGGGUGCCUUUGACAGAGGAUUCGUCCAAUGGAUAAGGUUACCUAGUGGCGGACGGGUGAGUAACGCGUGAGUAACCUGCCCUGGAGUGGGGAAUAACAGCUGGAAACAGCUGCUAAUACCGCAUAAUGCAGUUGGGUCGCAUGGCUCUGACUGCCAAAGAUUUAUCGCUCUGGGAUGGACUCGCGUCUGAUUAGCUAGUUGGUGGGGCAACGGCCCACCAAGGCAACGAUCAGUAGCCGGACUGAGAGGUUGGCCGGCCACAUUGGGACUGAGACACGGCCCAGACUCCUACGGGAGGCAGCAGUGGGGAAUAUUGGGCAAUGGGCGCAAGCCUGACCCAGCAACGCCGCGUGAAGGAAGAAGGCUUUCGGGUUGUAAACUUCUUUUGUCAGGGACGAAGCAAGUGACGGUACCUGACGAAUAAGCCACGGCUAACUACGUGCCAGCAGCCGCGGUAAUACGUAGGUGGCAAGCGUUAUCCGGAUUUACUGGGUGUAAAGGGCGUGUAGGCGGGGAAGCAAGUCAGAUGUGAAAACCACGGGCUCAACCUGUGGCCUGCAUUUGAAACUGUUUUUCUUGAGUGCUGGAGAGGCAAUCGGAAUUCCGUGUGUAGCGGUGAA